UACAGAGGGUGCAAGCGUUGUUCGGAAUUAUUGGGCGUAAAGAGCGUGUAGGCGGCUAGAUAGGUCCGUUGUGAAAACUCGAGGCUCAACCUCGAGACGUCGAUGGAAACCAUCUGGCUAGAGUCCGGAAGAGGAGAGUGGAAUUCCUGGUGUAGCGGUGAAAUGCGCAGAUAUCAGGAAGAACACCCGUGGCGAAGGCGGCUCUCUGGUACGUGACUGACGCUGAGACGCGAAAGCGUGGGGAGCGAACAGG
RNAcentral lists this ribosomal RNA (253 nucleotides) under uncultured bacterium. RNAcentral's name for it is "partial 16S ribosomal RNA". It matches the Rfam family "Bacterial small subunit ribosomal RNA", at positions 524 to 776 of the family's 1533-position model. The record is from RNAcentral.